UGCGUGCUAGCUCAGUGGUUAGAGCGCCUGGUUGUGGCCCAGGAGAGCCGAGUUCAAUUCUCGGGCAUAAGCC
RNAcentral lists this transfer RNA (73 nucleotides) under Mycobacteroides abscessus subsp. abscessus. RNAcentral describes it as "tRNA-His(gtg)". It matches the Rfam family "tRNA". From Rfam's summary of the family: Transfer RNA (tRNA) molecules are approximately 80 nucleotides in length. Their secondary structure includes four short double-helical elements and three loops (D, anti-codon, and T loops). The record is from RNAcentral. Lineage: Bacteria; Bacillati; Actinomycetota; Actinomycetes; Mycobacteriales; Mycobacteriaceae.